AAAAAUAAUGCAUUGUAUGCCGGAAGGGAUAAAUCUGGGGCUGAGUACAAGCAAAACAAGACCAAAGGAAGCUACCUGAGCAGGUAUUCCAGAUACUCAUGUCAUACACCAAGGUUGUACCAGUGCCCCUUUCUCUGUGACACAUCCAUCCACUGGAAACUUUCGUACAACUAGCUGAAAGAAGAGAAACAUCCUAUUUCAUGUCACUGGAGCCCUAAUGAUCGCAGCCAUUUCAGGAAAUGCCAUCAAUUACAGUGAGGAGCUCAUUCAGAAGUGAAAGAUGAGUUCCAUUCUCUGUUACUUAGAGGGUGGAUAUCCUCCUCCACUGAAUGCAAACUAUUAAGUAAUGAAAAGACAGCACUCCAAGCAAUAUAGAUUUAUAGGCCAACCUGGCAAUCAAGGGUAACUGACAUGAAAAUGGAUUGCUUCACAUUUUAAUUACAAAGGUAUUAGCCCCAUAUAAUGUUUCUUACAACAGAAGGUCUAUUAAUGGUUUUUCCAUCUUACUGAUUAACCAUAUUACCUUCUAGAUACUCUUCAGUACCAUAAAUUGAAGAAAACACUAACUUUUUGUGGCUACUGUAAUUGUCAAAGUAUAAUUACCUGUGUUUUCUCACCUACGUAUUUGAGAUAGAGACAAAACCAAGUAAGUUAAUCCACUUAUAAUAAAAAUGUCUUCUGAGAAUA
Molecule: long non-coding RNA, 687 nt
Organism: Homo sapiens (human)
Lineage: Eukaryota; Metazoa; Chordata; Mammalia; Primates; Hominidae
Source: Ensembl